AGUAGAUUCAAAUCUAUCUUAGAAGUUUAGGACAUUAAUUUUUCUCCUUUUUGUUAAUAUUAAAUGAGUAAUAUUGCUUAGAAUAAAACUUUUUUCAUGACGAAGGGAUGGCAACAUCUAC
Long non-coding RNA from Loxodonta africana (African savanna elephant), 121 nucleotides. Lineage: Eukaryota; Metazoa; Chordata; Mammalia; Proboscidea; Elephantidae. The record is from Rfam.